AACGAACGCUGGCGGCGCGCCUAAUACAUGCAAGUCGAGCGAGAAGACGUAGCAAUACGUUUGUAAAGCGGCGAACGGGUGAGGAAUACAUGGGUAACCUACCCUCGAGUGGGGAAUAACUAGCCGAAAGGUUAGCUAAUACCGCGUACGCUCCUUGGACUUCGGUUCAGGGAGGAAAGCGAUACCGUGGGUAUCGCGCUCUUGGAUGGGCUCAUGUCCUAUCAGCUUGUUGGUGAGGUAACGGCUCACCAAGGCUUCGACGGGUAGCUGGUCUGAGAGGACGAUCAGCCACACUGGCACUGCGACACGGGCCAGACUCCGUACGGGGAGGCAGCAAGUAAGGAAUAUUGCGCAAGUGGGACGAAAGCCUGACGCAGCGACGCCGCGGUGGGGGA
Molecule: ribosomal RNA, 395 nt
Filed under: uncultured bacterium
Lineage: Bacteria
Description: bacterial SSU rRNA
Rfam family: Bacterial small subunit ribosomal RNA
Source: RNAcentral